UACGUAGGGUGCGAGCGUUAUCCGGAAUUAUUGGGCGUAAAGAGCUCGUAGGCGGUUUGUCACGUCUGCUGUGAAAACUGGAGGCUCAACCUUCAGCCUGCAGUGGGUACGGGCAGACUAGAGUGCGGUAGGGGAGAUUGGAAUUCCUGGUGUAGCGGUGAAAUGCGCAGAUAUCAGGAGGAACACCGGUGGCGAAGGCGGGUCUCUGGGCCGAUACUGACGCUGAGGAGCGAAAGCGUGGGGAGCGAACAGG
Molecule: ribosomal RNA, 253 nt
Filed under: uncultured bacterium
Lineage: Bacteria
Description: partial 16S ribosomal RNA
Rfam family: Bacterial small subunit ribosomal RNA
Source: RNAcentral